Molecule: ribosomal RNA, 489 nt
Filed under: uncultured bacterium
Lineage: Bacteria
Description: partial 16S ribosomal RNA
Rfam family: Bacterial small subunit ribosomal RNA
Source: RNAcentral
AUUGAACGCUGGCGGCAGGCCUAACACAUGCAAGUCGAACGGUAACAGGAAGAAGCUUGCUUCUUUGCUGACGAGUGGCGGACGGGUGAGUAAUGUCUGGGAAACUGCCUGAUGGAGGGGGAUAACUACUGGAAACGGUAGCUAAUACCGCAUAACGUCGCAAGACCAAAAGGGGGGACUUCGGGCCUCCUGCCAAUGGAUGUGGCCAGAUGGGAUUAGCUAGUAGGUGGGGUAACGGCUCACCUAGGCGACGAUCCCUAGCUGGUCUGAGAGGAUGACCAGCCACACUGGAACUGAGACACGGUCCAGACUCCUACGGGAGGCAGCAGUGGGGAAUAUUGCACAAUGGGCGCAAGCCUGAUGCAGCCAUGCCGCGUGUAUGAAGAAGGCCUUCGGGUUGUAAAGUACUUUCAGCGGGGAGGAAGGGAGUAAAGUUAAUACCUUUGCUCAUUGACGUUACCCGCAGAAGAAGCACCGGCUAACUCCGUG